RNAcentral lists this unclassified non-coding RNA (345 nucleotides) under soil metagenome. Its description in RNAcentral is "partial contains 5.8S ribosomal RNA, internal transcribed spacer 2, and large subunit ribosomal RNA". The stretch from base 1 to 120 matches the Rfam family "5.8S ribosomal RNA", at positions 35 to 154 of the family's 154-position model. The record is from RNAcentral.
GAUGAAGAACGUAGCGAAAUGCGAUACGUAAUGUGAAUUGCAGAAUUCAGUGAAUCAUCGAAUCUUUGAACGCACAUUGCGCCCCCUGGUAUUCCGGGGGGCAUGCCUGUCCGAGCGUCAUUGCUGCCCUCAAGCACGGCUUGUGUGUUGGGCCUCCGUCCUCCUCCCGGGGGACGGGCCCGAAAGGCAGCGGCGGCACCGCGUCCGGUCCUCGAGCGUAUGGGGCUUCGUCACCCGCUCUUGUAGGCCCGGCCGGCGCUUGCCGACACAUCAAUCUUUUUUCCAGGUUGACCUCGGAUCAGGUAGGGAUACCCGCUGAACUUAAGCAUAUCAAUAAGCGGAGGA